This 437-nucleotide ribosomal RNA is filed under the name uncultured Oscillospiraceae bacterium. RNAcentral describes it as "bacterial SSU rRNA". It matches the Rfam family "Bacterial small subunit ribosomal RNA", at positions 341 to 792 of the family's 1533-position model. Lineage: Bacteria; Bacillati; Bacillota; Clostridia; Eubacteriales; Oscillospiraceae. The record is from RNAcentral.
ACGGAAGGCAGCAGUGGGGAAUAUUGGGCAAUGGGCGAAAGCCUGACCCAGCAACGCCGCGUGAAGGAAGAAGGUCUUCGGAUUGUAAACUUCUUUUAUGAGGGACGAAGGAAGUGACGGUACCUCAUGAAUAAGCCACGGCUAACUACGUGCCAGCAGCCGCGGUAAUACGUAGGUGGCAAGCGUUAUCCGGAUUUACUGGGUGUAAAGGGCGCGUAGGCGGGGAUGCAAGUCAGGUGUGAAAUCUAUGGGCUUAACUCAUAAACUGCACUUGAAACUGUAUCUCUUGAGUGCUGGAGAGGUAGACGGAAUUCCUUGUGUAGCGGUGAAAUGCGUAGAUAUAAGGAAGAACACCAGUGGCGAAGGCGGUUAGCUGGACAAUAACUGACGCUGAGGCGCGAAAGCGUGGGUAGCAAACAGGAUUAGAUACCCUGGUA